AACGAACGCUGGCGGCAUGCCUAACACAUGCAAGUCGAACGAGACCUUCGGGUCUAGUGGCGCACGGGGGCGUAACGCGUGGGAACCUGCCCUUAGGUUCGGAAUAACUCCCCGAAAGGGGUGCUAAUACCGGAUAAUGUCUUCGGACCAAAGAUUUAUCGCCUUUGGUUGGGCCCGCGUUGGAUUAGCUAGUUGGUAGGGUAAAAGCCGACCAAGGCGACGAUCCAUAGCUGGUAUGGGAGGAUGAUCAGCCACACUGGGACUGGGACACGGCCCAGACUCCUACGGGAGGCAGCAGUGGGGAAUAAUAGACAAUGGGCGAGAGCCUGAUCCAGCAAGGCCGCGUGAGUGAUGAAGGCGUUAGGGAUGUAAAGCUCUUUUACCCGGGAUGAUAAGGAGAGUACCGGUAAAAUAAGCUCCGCCUACCUCGGU
This 432-nucleotide ribosomal RNA is filed under the name uncultured bacterium. RNAcentral describes it as "partial 16S ribosomal RNA". It matches the Rfam family "Bacterial small subunit ribosomal RNA", at positions 29 to 506 of the family's 1533-position model. The record is from RNAcentral.